ACGAACGCUGGCGGCGUGCCUAAUACAUGCAAGUCGAGCGGAAUGAUGAAGAAGCUUGCUUCUUCUGAUUUUAGCGGCGGACGGGUGAGUAACACGUGGGCAACCUACCUUGUAGAUUGGGAUAACUCCGGGAAACCGGGGCUAAUACCGAAUAAUCCAUUUUGCUUCAUGGCGAGAUGUUGAAAGACGGUUUCGGCUGUCACUAUAAGAUGGGCCCGCGGCGCAUUAGCUAGUUGGUAGGGUAAUGGCCUACCAAGGCGACGAUGCGUAGCCGACCUGAGAGGGUGAUCGGCCACACUGGGACAGAGACACGGCCCAGACUCCUACGGGAGGCAGCAGUAGGGAAUCUUCCACAAUGGACGAAAGUCUGAUGGAGCAACGCCGCGUGAGUGAAGAAGGUUUUCGGAUCGUAAAACUCUGUUGUAAGGGAAGAACACGUACGAGAGUAACUGCUCGUACCUUGACGGUACCUUAUUAGAAAGCCACGGCUAACUACGUG
This 499-nucleotide ribosomal RNA is filed under the name uncultured bacterium. RNAcentral's name for it is "bacterial SSU rRNA". It matches the Rfam family "Bacterial small subunit ribosomal RNA", at positions 29 to 507 of the family's 1533-position model. The record is from RNAcentral.